GGUGGGUAGCCGCACGAGCGCACCCUUAUCCUUAGUUGCCAGCACGUUAAUGGUGGGAACUCUAAGGAGACUGCCGGUGACAAACCGGAGGAAGGUGGGGACGACGUCAAGUCAUCAUGGCCCUUACGAGAUGGGCUACACACGUGCUACAAUGGCAAGUACAAAGGGUUGCAAACUCGCGAGAGUAAGCGGAUCCCAUAAAGCUUGUCGUAGUCCGGAUUGGAGUCUGCAACUCGACUCCAUGAAGUCGGAAUCGCUAGUAAUCGUGGAUCAGAAUGCCACGGUGAAUACGUUCCCGGGCCUUGUACACACCGCCCGUCACACCAUGGGAGUGGGCUGCAAAAGAAGUGGAUAGCUUAACCUUCGGGAGGGCGUUCACCACUUUGUGGUUCAUGACUGGGGUGAAGUCGUAACAAGGUAGCCGUAGGGGAACCUGCGGCUGGAUCACCUCCUU
This 454-nucleotide ribosomal RNA is filed under the name uncultured Gammaproteobacteria bacterium. Its description in RNAcentral is "bacterial SSU rRNA". It matches the Rfam family "Bacterial small subunit ribosomal RNA", at positions 1074 to 1532 of the family's 1533-position model. Lineage: Bacteria; Pseudomonadati; Pseudomonadota; Gammaproteobacteria. The record is from RNAcentral.